AGAGUUUGAUCAUGGCUCAGAUUGAACGCUGGCGGCAUGCCUUACACAUGCAAGUCGAACGGCAGCAUGAUCUAGCUUGCUAGAUUGAUGGCGAGUGGCGAACGGGUGAGUAAUACAUCGGAACGUGCCCUGUAGUGGGGGAUAACUAGUCGAAAGAUUAGCUAAUACCGCAUACGUCCUGAGGGUGAAAGUGGGGGACCGCAAGGCCUCAUGCUAUAGGAGCGGCCGAUGUCUGAUUAGCUAGUUGGUGAGGUAAAGGCUCACCAAGGCGACGAUCAGUAGCUGGUCUGAGAGGACGAUCAGCCACACUGGGACUGAGACACGGCCCAGACUCCUACGGGAGGCAGCAGUGGGGAAUUUUGGACAAUGGGCGAAAGCCUGAUCCAGCAAUGGCCGCGUGUGUGAAGAAGGCCUUCGGGUUGUAAAGCACUUUUGUCCGGAAAGAAAUGGCUCUGGUUAAUACCUGGGGUCGAUGACGGUACCGGAAGAAUAAGGACCGGCUAACUACGUGCCAGCAGCCGCGGUAAUACGUAGGGUCCAAGCGUUAAUCGGAAUUACUGGGCGUAAAGCGUGCGCAGGCGGUUGUGCAAGACCGAUGUGAAAUCCCCGAGCUUAACUUGGGAAUUGCAUUGGUGACUGCACGGCUAGAGUGUGUCAGAGGGGGGUAGAAUUCCACGUGUAGCAGUGAAAUGCGUAGAGAUGUGGAGGAAUACCGAUGGCGAAGGCAGCCCCCUGGGAUAACACUGACGCUCAUGCACGAAAGCGUGGGGAGCAAACAGGAUUAGAUACCCUGGUAGUCCACGCCCUAAACGAUGUCAACUAGUUGUUGGGGAUUCAUUUCCUUAGUAACGUAGCUAACGCGUGAAGUUGACCGC
This 875-nucleotide ribosomal RNA is filed under the name uncultured bacterium. RNAcentral describes it as "bacterial SSU rRNA". It matches the Rfam family "Bacterial small subunit ribosomal RNA", at positions 8 to 872 of the family's 1533-position model. The record is from RNAcentral.